Molecule: long non-coding RNA, 2623 nt
Organism: Triticum aestivum (bread wheat)
Lineage: Eukaryota; Viridiplantae; Streptophyta; Magnoliopsida; Poales; Poaceae
Exons: 4
Source: RefSeq, a predicted model, not a curated record
AAAUCUCUAGACUGGCAAAUCUGCGAAGCCCCACCAACAAAGUGGCAAAAGUCCAAAUAUCUCCCCACCGUCGCACCAUCUCCCUCCUCCCUCAUGACUAGCCGCAGCGCCAGGAGAUUGCCGCCCCUCCUCCCUCAUCAACAGGCGCAGCACUAGGAGAGUUGCCGCCGACGAGAUCCAGCGCCUCGCAAGGUCCUCCGGUCGGCUGUCGUGCCCGCCGCUCCUUCAACCAAAUUUGCGCCCUUGAUUCCCUCUUCUCUUGCGUCGCGCGGUGCCUGCUGCUCCACCAUGUCGCGGUUACCUCGUGGAUGACGGGGCCAUGGACCGGUCCUUGAAGGAGAGAAGGAAGAUGAGGGAGAGAGAAGGAAGGAGAGAGGAAAGAGGAGAGGGAGGUGCAGCGGCGGAUGGGAGAUAGUUAUCGGCCGGCAUCAGUCAUUCAUCCAUUCGCAUCUCUCCUCCUCUCCUGCUCUCGACCACUAAUGUGCCCCUCCUCCUUCCCUUCUCUUCUCACCAUCUCCUCAUCUUUGGAGCUAGCUGAGUGAUCCACAUCGAGGAAGAUGGGGAAGAAAGAGCCAACACCGCCGAUGCCCACGGGCCACUUCAGUCAGGCGCCUUCCAUUCUUCCUCCCUUAGGAUUUCCAAUCCAAGGUUAGUUUUCCUUUGUAUCUAUAUAUGCUUGACAAAAUGACAAGGCCUUGCAGCUGAAAAUAAAAUGGAGCCGGCAACAAGGAUGAUGGGAGAAACAACGGUGGCUGAACAGUAGAUACCGGAAGCUGGCCGAGAAAGAGGGAGGCAGUGCGGGGCGGAAGAGGGCAUCCAUGUGGUAUCCGUUUUUGCUCAUCUUUAGCUUACAGGUGAGCGUUUUACUAAAAUUGUAGCCAGUCCAUACUACAUGCUCCCUGAGGUAUUAAAGCACAACUAUGGCCCUGAAAUCGAUGUCUGGAUUGUAGGAGUUAUACUUUACAUACUUCUUUGUGGUGUGCAAACAUUUUUGGAAGAUUCUGAACAGGGAGUAGCACAAGCAAUUAUGUGCUCUGUGGUAGAUUUCAAAAGCGACCCAAGGCCCAGGGUAUCUGAGCCUGCUAAAGACUUUGUUCGGCAGAUGCUGGAUCGAAAUCCAAUCACACGGUUUACUGCAACACAAGUAUUCAGUGAGCAUUAUGAUAUUACCUUUCCCAUUGUGUAAUAGCAUACAGAAUGUUUUCUCUCUCUCAUAAUGGUGAAUUCAGUCUUACAUUCGGGUAUGUCUUUUUUAUGCCAUAGCCAUGGCCAAUUGAUAAUUAACUUGCAAGGUUUUAAUAAUUGCAUCAGACAAUUUCACUGUUUAUUUUGUGGCAUUGUUGAUUGCAUCAGUAGAACAUCCAUGGUUACAUGAUUCUAAAAAGAACACUGACAUUUCUCAAUAUAAUCGGUGGUGUCUGUCAGUAGGAUCUCCCUAAACAUGCGUCAUCAAAUCCAACCACAAGCUACACGACAAGCUAUGAUUGAAUACCAUGUACAAGUAUGGGGACAGAGUAGUAAACAACAAAUAAAGGAUACUAGACGGAUAUACUGGACGGAUGCAUGGAGUAUGAACUCCUCUUUUUCAGGGGCCACCUUACUCGUGUGCCCUCAGGCUGAGGAGACCUUUCUAAGUGUACAUGGAGGAUGUGAAAGCGAUGACAGAGGAGCUUGCUGUAGCUUCUUGCCUGCUCCGGGAAUCCCUUCCCUCCUGACGAAGCACGAUGCCAUGUCCUAGAGUAUGUUCACGCAGUUCUAUGUAGAAGGGCCUUUUGUCCUAGAGUAUGUUCAUGUAUGUAUAUAUUCUGACAAUUAUAUGUGACUGAUUAAUUAACUAAAACUUGAGAGGUGAAAAGGACAAGUGUUUUCAAAUGAAGGAAUAUAUUGUACGUGCAGCUAAUUACAUACAAAUAUGCAUUAGUUCCUAAUAGUUGAAAGUUUGGAUAUUAGGUAUAUGUUAAAGAGUAGGGAUCCUAACUGGGACGUGGUGAUUUGGUGCUCGGGCUCAGAUGAGCCCGAAAUCUGAGCUUUCCGCUGGUGCAUUGGGAUCGUAGAAAGUCUGACACGCGCGACAGAGUCCAAGCAGGGAAAAAUGCGUAUACGCGAUCUAUACAACCUCCUACAGUGUGCUCUUGUGGGCCUUUUUUGUAGCUCGCGGCGUCCAUCCGUUAGGAGUGGUCUGUGGGCCGUGGAACAGAACGCUAGAGAAAUAGGUCCAGGUCGUUUCGGCAAACCUGAGCUGUCCCAGCUAGCACGGCAGUGGACGGCGACCGAGGAAUAGUGAGACCGACCAGGGGUGGGAGGUACCCCGUGCGUAUGGCGUGUGCGGCGGCCGCUCUUUCUGAUGACGCUGUGGCGAUGGAAGCUUACGGGCUGGAAUUCCUCCUAGAUCCAGUAGAGUAGACCGGUGAGUUCCCCUAAGCCAGCGCGGUCCUAAUUUAAUUUAACCUAAACUAGUUUAGUUAACAGGGCUGGCCCCACGCGUCAGUGACCCAGGGCGGUCAAACCCUGGUCAACGGGGUCAAACCUAGUUAACCGGGGCUAACCCCAUCGGUGACUCGACGCCGGCGAGGCCAGACGCGGCGGCGGGCUGCGGGAUUGCGUCUCCGGCGACCAAUGGGUG